CAAUCGGUCUAAUAGGCACAGAUCACCGACUUCAUGAUCAAUGAUCGAUGAUCAUCGAUGACCAUCGGUAUAUCAGAGUUACCGAUCAAUGGUCAUUUGGAUUUCUACAAUUACCGACAUACAGUCAACACAUUCAAACUACCAACAUAGAGUCGGUGUACCAAAAAUUGCUAGCACAGAAAGUGCAUAAUAGUCACGU
This 199-nucleotide long non-coding RNA is filed under the name Elaeis guineensis (African oil palm). RNAcentral describes it as "long non-coding RNA (EGUI_LNC035534)". The record is from RNAcentral. Lineage: Eukaryota; Viridiplantae; Streptophyta; Magnoliopsida; Arecales; Arecaceae.